Long non-coding RNA from Ornithodoros turicata, 390 nucleotides. RefSeq lists it as uncharacterized. The transcript is spliced from 3 exons. Lineage: Eukaryota; Metazoa; Arthropoda; Arachnida; Ixodida; Argasidae. The record is from RefSeq and is a predicted model, not a curated record.
GUCACGAGACAAAUAGAGAAACAUCGUGCGAGCAGCAACCCACGGCAUGUCAAGCUAAUGAGGCGGUUUGCCGGAAUACCAACAACGACACGUCGAAGCAAACGCUGCUUCCCAUAAACCUGUGCUCCUGUGUCCGCUGGCACAGUCCAUGCCGUCUUAUCACGUUGCAAAAGCGCACUGCUUCCUUUGUUACACCGUCUCCUUCAUCUCACUUGGAGGUCACACAGCUUCUCGCUCAGCACGCGGCGAAAAGGCUUCAUCCUUGCUUCGAUUUCGCGCGCAGACGGACCUGUGCUUCUGAUGUGGCUGACGACGAAUUCUGAAAGACAACGAAAAAGCUUUUAAUAUAAAUCUGCACAAAAUGGAUAUGUGCAAACAUACACUAUCAUA